RNAcentral lists this ribosomal RNA (301 nucleotides) under uncultured bacterium. Its description in RNAcentral is "partial 16S ribosomal RNA". It matches the Rfam family "Bacterial small subunit ribosomal RNA", at positions 509 to 807 of the family's 1533-position model. The record is from RNAcentral.
CAGCAGCCGCGGGAAUACGUAGGGCGCAAGCGUUGUUCGGAAUUACUGGGCGUAAAGGGCGCGUAGGCGGCCAUUCAAGUUAGAUGUGAAAGCCCUGGGCUCAACCUAGGAAUUGCAUUUGAUACUGAUUGGCUAGAGUUCGGGAGAGGUGAGUGGGAUUCCCAGUGUAGAGGUGAAAUUCGUAGAUAUUGGGAAGAACACCAGUGGCGAAGGCGGCUCACUGGACGACUGUUGACGCUGAGGUACGAAAGCGUGGGGAGCAAACAGGAUUAGAUACCCCCGUAGUCCCUGUCUCUUAUAC